This 354-nucleotide transfer-messenger RNA is filed under the name Clostridia. RNAcentral's name for it is "CAG-269 sp944388035 Standard tmRNA". It matches the Rfam family "transfer-messenger RNA". Rfam says of the family: Bacterial tmRNA, also known as 10Sa RNA or SsrA, is named for its dual tRNA and mRNA-like properties. Its role is to liberate the mRNA from a stalled ribosome. RNAcentral also lists the same sequence under 1 other name. Lineage: Bacteria; Bacillati; Bacillota. The record is from RNAcentral.
GGGGAUGUACUGGUUUCGACAUAUUACCAGAAACAUGGAUUGCAAGUAGUGGAUGGUUGCUUUGGCCACUUAAAAAAAGCAAAAUUAAAUAUAAACGCUGAUAGAGAAGAAUUAGCAUUAGCUGCCUAAGAGCAGCUACACUUUACUAGAAAGCCCACAUUUUUAGAUAAAGUGACAAUUUAGUGGGAAACAAAACUACUUUUGCUUUUAAAGUAGUGGGUAUUUUAAAAAGCUAUAUUUUGGUAUAACCUGUUUGUUGGUGAUAUUAAAAUGAAUAUAAAAAACAAACUAAACUUGUAGAUAUCUAUGUGGAAAGUAUUAUGGAAAGGAGUUCGACUCUCCUCAUCUCCACCA